CUCCGCACCGCAUUUCUGGUGGAGAAUGUGGGCACCCCUAGCAUGGUAGCAUGAGAGGGACUCGAGGACAGCAAUUUGGCUGCUGUGCAGAAGAUCAGCCUGCCUUUGUGGAGCAGAGAAGCUGGUCGAAAUUAUCCUCACUGCCCUAGUGGGAAGAAAAGGUUACAGACUGGAGCUCCAAUUGCAGAUGACUUGAAUCUCUCCCUGAUCAAGCUGUAUCCAACGCCUUGAAAAAGCAGUACUUAAGGAGAUAAAGGCAUUCGCUGGAUUCCAGCCAAGUGGGUGAAGCCCUUGUCUGAAACCACCGUCAUCAACCCGUGUUGUGCCCAGAGGUGGAGAGUCGGUGACAACCCCGAAUCCAGACAGCCUUGAAUCCACUUCUUCAACACCUGACAGCUGAACAACACUCAGAAUCUUUACCAAUAUUGCUAGAAUUUGCUGCAGCAAUAGAGGCACCUCCACGAAGGUUUACUAUACACGAGUUGGACACAACCGG
Passer montanus (Eurasian tree sparrow) is the source of this 496-nucleotide long non-coding RNA. RefSeq lists it as uncharacterized. NCBI's taxonomy places the organism in Eukaryota, Metazoa, Chordata, Aves, Passeriformes, Passeridae. The record is from RefSeq and is a predicted model, not a curated record. The transcript has 3 exons.